UUUUUUCUGUAGGAAAAAAUAAAAGAGGAAAGGGAUUCUUUGUAAGCUAAAGUCCUUUUACACAAUUGGGGAAGCCCUCCAAAAACCAGGAAUGAUUAGCCUUGUGUUUUGUUUUGUUUUAAUUGAUGUGGGAUGAGGAGGCAGGCACGAAGCUUUUCAUUCCUUGUGCAGCUAACAGAGGAAAGGAGCCCAGGUCAAAAGCAACAGGGAAAGUGAGACAGCAAAGGGGCCUUGGGCAUAUUCUGGGAGCCUCUGAAACCAAGAGAGUUCAUUUCUCAGCCCCCUUGCUGGAGGAUUCAUAUUAACCCUGAUUCUGUCCCACACAUUUCUCAUGCUACUUUUUAUAAACAAAAUUCAGCUUUGGUUUAACUGCUUAGUAAUUUGUUUUUUUCUAACUCUCCUGCUAUUAUUUCUUUCAGGUUGCCUAGCUAUUCAAGUUAAAAAAACAUGUGUCAUGUAAAUAGGCAUUUUCCUCAGCGUGUCUGAAACUGCAAUUUUACCUGCACCACCCCCCCAACAACUGUCCUCCGAGUUAUAUGUGUUAACAUAUUUUCAAAAACCUCAGUCUGGAAGGUGAGAAGGUGAAAGGUUGGAUUGUGACAUUGUUGACAAGCUGUCAUCCUCUUCAGACUUGCAGACAAAAGGGAGCAACGUGAGCACAAUUUAGGACCCUAGGUAACCACGAUUUUGUACAUAACCACCAAUAGACCUCACAAUAACAGAGAGAUCAAAGUGAAAAAGUUUAAAGGCAGUGACAUGGAAUGACACUGGAUAAAGAUGGCCAAGACAGGAAGUUAAAUAUUAAGUCCAGGAUACAAGAUAUCAACUUCUCUUCACAACAAAACUAUCUAUCGUGUUCAGUUUGCCAAGGAAAACCUGUAAUUCAUUCAUCAGCCCUUUGUUUACCCAGAAGGUACAGAAUGGGGCCCUGGGCAGAGUAUACACUGGCUGCUCUAAUUAAUUAGAUUUUUUUUUCUGGGAUUUCUAGACUCCUUCCAUCAAUCCAACCUUAUCUCCCACGAUCUCCCUGAAUUCAGCCAUAUUUUUUUUUCUCAUGUCCCUUCAACCCACCAGGAGCUUGUCCACUCUCCUCAGGGCCCAAAUUCCUCCCUUUGCUAAGAAGUUUCUCUUCCUCUGACUUCCAGGCACCAAUCUCCAAUCCUUAUCUGCACGCCCAAGCUAAGCUCCACCUCUUCCAAGAACACCUUCCAGACAUAUUGUGUAUUGUAUUGUAAAGAAGUGCUUUUCAAGGUUUUUUGUUUGUCUCCUUAAUAUUUUUUAAAGACCCAGGGAGGGAAAAAAAAUAUUAUUUAUACUUCAAAUUCUGCAAAUUUCAGCACAUAGCAAGUAUUCAGUAAACAAUUAUUCAAGAGUUGACCAGUUAACUGAGAGUUAAGAGAAUGAGAAAGUUAGAGUUUGAGGAAGACACCCAUAUAGACUUUUGUUUAAAAUUAACUAUCAUAAUAGUUAAUCAUAACUAUCAUUUACACUGAUGUCUCCAUGUCUUCUGAGGCUAAGGCACUAGAGUUAUUCAUCUGUCUCAUGUGCCUUGGUCCUGUGUCUGCUACAGAGUAGACACUCAGAUACCCAGUAAAUGAGCCAGUUACCCCAUGCAGAAGGUAUUAAUGAGUGAACAUUGUAGGCUCACACCUUUGGUCUCUAAGCAAUACCUACCCAAACUUCUCAGGGAAUUAUGUUCUGAGUUGAAAAUACUCCCGUGGGCCCCAGGAGGAACACAUCCUUGGACCAACAAAUCAUUAGAUUUGAGCCCUGAAGGAAGAGGCAGAUCUUCUACUAAGCAAGGGGACCUACAUGAGGCCCCCAGGGCAGUGGAAACACUUUAGAGUUUGCAAGUAUGAGAUGAGUCCAGUUCUCUGUUAAUUUGAUUCCUUUGGGGGGGGGCCUUGAUUUGUGUCUUUUUUGGCUACCGUCCGGGGGGGGGCCUUGAUUUGUGUCUUUUUUGGCUACUGUCUGUUCACUUUGAAUUUCCCUUCCGCAUCUGUUUUCUCCUUCGUCUUCUCCACUUUCCCUUUUGAGCUUAUUAUCUUGAAACGCAACUGGACAGAGAGUAAGGUAGCUGGGAGACACCCUCAAGACUGAGAUGAUGUGUACAGUAGAGGUUUUCCCCAAUUACAUGACCUUGGGCUGAAACUGGGGCAUUUUCUAAUAGGAUAGAGUAAGCAACUUGAAGCAUUUCAUUGAACUUUAAUAUCUCCAAAAAACACUUGAGUAGUUACUGUGCUAUAAGUUCUCUGCUGUGCCCCAGGGGGACACAAAGGGGAAGAUACCUCAAUCUUUGGCCUGCAGGAAUGUAGUAAUAAGAGUACCUUUUGGAGUUCCUGCUGUGGCUCAGCAGAAACAAACCAACUAGUAUCCAUGAGGUUGUGGGUUGGAUCCCUGGUCUCGCUCAGUGG
Molecule: long non-coding RNA, 2414 nt
Filed under: Sus scrofa (pig)
Lineage: Eukaryota; Metazoa; Chordata; Mammalia; Artiodactyla; Suidae
Description: lncRNA (ENSSSCG00015027181.1)
Source: RNAcentral